Molecule: ribosomal RNA, 301 nt
Filed under: uncultured bacterium
Lineage: Bacteria
Description: partial 16S ribosomal RNA
Rfam family: Bacterial small subunit ribosomal RNA
Source: RNAcentral
CAGCCGCCGCGGGAAAACGGAGGGUGCAAGCGCUAAUCGGAAUUACUGGGCGUAAAGCGCACGCAGGCGGUCUGUCAAGUCAGAUGUGAAAUCCCCGGGCUUAACCUGGGAACUGCAUUUGAAACUGGCAGGCUAGAGUCUUGUAGAGGGGGGUAGAAUUCCAGGUGUAGCGGUGAAAUGCGUAGAGAUCUGGAGGAAUACCGGUGGCGAAGGCGGCCCCCUGGACAAAGACUGACGCUCAGGUGCGAAAGCGUGGGGAGCAAACAGGAUUAGAUACCCCUGUAGUCCCUGUCUCUUAUAC